Molecule: ribosomal RNA, 253 nt
Filed under: uncultured bacterium
Lineage: Bacteria
Description: partial 16S ribosomal RNA
Rfam family: Bacterial small subunit ribosomal RNA
Source: RNAcentral
UACGUAGGGUGCGAGCGUUGUCCGGAAUUAUUGGGCGUAAAGAGCUCGUAGGCGGUGUGUCACGUCGGCCGUGAAAACCUGCAGCUUAACUGUGGGCGUGCGGUCGAUACGGGCGGACUAGAGGUAUGCAGGGGAGAACGGAAUUCCUGGUGUAGCGGUGGAAUGCGCAGAUAUCAGGAGGAACACCGGUGGCGAAGGCGGUUCUCUGGGCAUUACCUGACGCUGAGGAGCGAAAGCAUGGGGAGCGAACAGG